AAGAAUGAGAACAAUGCAUUCACCUCAAUUUCGACAGAUGCAGCAAAUGCUGUUGCUGCAGACACUUCCUCCACAAGUGUGCAGGAGAACUGGUGUUACGUCUUGUACAGCAUCGUGUAACAAGCAGAUGUGAAAGAAGCUGGAAAGGAAGCAUUUGUGCUCCUGAGCUGACAUGGAUAACCACAGAAGCUGAAUGCUGUAAAGGCUUGAUGGGAUCCUUUUUCUGCUGGCUGUGAGGCAGCCAAGGAUUUAGAGGGUGUAAAGUAAACCAUCAGACUUCUCCAUGCCUGAAAGUCAAUGGAAAGAAACACUUAUUAUUUGUUCUAGAAGAAAUUUUCACAGGAAAGAGCCAUUAGUGUCCUCAGUAACCUAACUCUGGUGCACAGUCCCCCCGCUUCACCAGCCCUGCUCCAAGAAGGCCGGUGCUCCCCUGCUUCAUCCUUGUCCUGCCUGGUGCUCAGCUUUUUACCCUUCUUGAGGACUUUGUGCCAGCAAGCAGCUACCCGAGCAAGCAGGUGAGAAAUGCCAAGAGCAGGGCUGUGGAAGCACCAAGAGCAGAGACCUUGUAGGUCCCACAGCUUUGGGCCUUCCUUGUUUGUCUCCAUAAGCUGCCUCAGGGACAAGUGCUGAGGUUGUUGAGGUUUCCUGUGGUCACUUCCAGCAAAGGGGGGGUGAGUGGGGGGAAUGAGUUUUUCUCUGACUCCAUUAAGGUUGUCUAAUAUGAAAAAUGUGAGCAAUAAGUGCUGCCUUUAGGAAUAGGGGCCUGUUGGGAUCAGACACUUGGGGUGCCUGACCUAUUGAGCCCUCUGGGGUUACCAGAAAACAAACAACUAGCAUAAGAAUAGGGGCAUGUAGGUGAGGCUUAAACAGAUACUGCUGCUAGUCUCUGCCAUGAAAGCAAGAUGAACCAGAAAUUAAUUUAUUGUGGUGGUCCCUUUUGCUAAAAUAUUGUGUUUAAAGUUGCUCCAGUUCCUACAAAAUAUAUUGGGUACUAUACAGCCCAGGGAAAGUCUGAAAUAUAGGCUAUUUAUUUAGAAAAUGGAUGUUGACAGCCUUGCUGCAGUAUAUAAUUCAGUAUUUUCUAGAACAUGGCACAAUUUUAAUAACAGACCAAAACAGACUGAAGUUUCACAGCAUGAAGGCACUCUUUUGUCCCAUAGUAUAUGAGCAUAUGCCCUAACCUGGUAGCUUCUGGUCCUACAAUAAGGAAGGAGGGAUAUCAACACUACAGAUUACACUUGCUUGCAUUUUUGCAGGGGGAGGAUGGACAUGCCUAACUAUCAGAGAUGGGUCUAGCUGGAGGCACCACCCUGCUGCUUGGUGUUUCUUCCUGGUUGCCCUCUUACCUUUAGAUAACUCCUCGUACCCACCCCUUCUCCUCCCACACACACCCACAGGCAUAGCUGUCACCACCGAUCCUGUUUUCAGGCAUCUGCUUUGGGCUUAGGAGAUGUCAGACUCUUCAGACUCCUUUUCUUGAUCUCCUAUCUGUCUGUCCAUCCCCCCUCCAGUCCAACCCUUCCUGGAAGGACAAGAUGGACUUCUGGAGGAGCUCUGAGGCAGGAGCAAGAUGGCGGCUAAUGUGAAAGCUCCCAGAUGUGGUAUGGACAGGCCAACGUUGGCUGGCAGAGCUCGUGAUGGGUCAGCCCCACCAGCCCAUGCUGGUCCUUGCACAGACAGCUUUAACACCUCACUUGACACCUCAGACACCACAGGGAUACAAUAGGCUCCUCAGCACUGUGGGAGCAAGCCUAGUUCACUUAGUUUGCUGAUUCAUUUAAUCAGCCAGUGAGGUUUUCCUUAUUACUUAUGUCUCAGAGAAGGCUCUGAUUGCUGUGCUUCCCACAGCAAAGGUUAUAAGGUUUGCCUUUACGGCUCACGUGUGCUUGGAAUAACACCUGAUGGCAGUGAUUUUCUAAUGGGCAACAGAGAAAGGCCUGUAGGAAUCAGUGCUGAGCAGGAGCUCAGCUGCGGUUCCUUCAGCCUGGACCCUGAGAGACCUACCAACUCCUCCAAGAUAAGGGAUGCAAGCUGGGGAGUAUGCAACUGGAAUCUCUAAAAAUUGAAAAGGUUUUAUGGCUGGCCCUUGCACGACAUUAACACUUACUACAGUUCUAGAUAUGUGGUUGUUAUGCUGUUCCAAUGUCUUCAUGCAAGAUCUUUCCUCCCCAACGUAGCUUUACAAGCUGAUUUUCAUGAGACCAGAAGCAGAUUUGAAAAAGAAGCAUUGGAGUUGAUUUCCAGCACAUAAGAUUCCCACUUUGGAUGCUUGGAAGCCCUGCUCAGCAGUCCCACUGCUCGUAGGAAGCUGCUCCUGAGAGCAAUUACAAAGCCCCCUAAGAGGGAGAUUCACAGAGGGAGAUGUAGAAAUGAGGAAAAGCGCAUUGCCUAACUCUUAAAUGCUUGGAUAUCACCUGGACCAGUUGUGAAACCAUGGUCUGCACCCCAGAAGCCAUUCAGCCUUCGACUACACCUUCUGUGCCAUUUCCAUCCUGGGUUUCGCUGUGCUCAUGGCUGUGGCUGCAGGCGCCGAGCCACCACAUCUCCUGGGACCCAUGGUUAGCCACAAUGCUGCUGGCCUGUCCCGUGCUCACAUCUCCGGGUGUGCACAAGCAGGAUUUAUGCUCCAGUACCCCUGAAAAUCUACUGGGAUUUUGCACCUGAGUUGUUUGUUUCCAACAAUGCAGCUUGAUACAGAAGCAGAGUUUCUGAGCACUGUGUGGUCCACAAGAAAGGCUAUCCAGGGAUCUGAAGAUGCAUCUCUGGUAGUGGUGGGCACCAUUCAGCUGCCUGGUCUCUGGUGUCCAAGGCCAUCUGAGAUGCUGCUGGGCAUUUGACUGACCUUAACUCCUGCUCCUGAACCCCCUCCCUUCAGGCCCCAUGCCAUUUCUGCUGCAGGGAUGGCAAUCUAAAGGCAUUUAUCCCAUCUCACCAAUGUGUGCAUCAUUACCUGAAGUGACAGGCUUUUUCCAGCCAUUCCAGCUGCUGCAAAGAGAAACAGCGUGCUUGCACCUAUGGCUUUCUAGCCACCUGGUUGUGGUAGUCUUCUGCAAGCAUUUCACUGGUUUUCACAUUUUGAAAAUAAAUAACAUGAAGUGUUAAGUCUAAGUCUCCUGUGAGACACCUAACCUACUGCUUCUUCUCUCUUCUUAUUUGAAUUGGUGCUGUAGCACCUCAUUUAUAGACUGUGUUAAAUGUAUUCAUUCCUUUCCAGUUUCUUGAGCUAAAUGAAUUAGAUUCUUAAGUCAUUCCUCAUACCAUAAGUUUUCCUGACCUUGAAUAGUUCUUGGGGCUUUUCUGCAUUUUUUUCUUAUUUUUCUUUCAACUUGAUUUGGAAAAGUGGUCACAGAUGUUGUCUUAGUACUUGUAGUAAUAUCUCCACCUAAUUCCUAGUGCCCUAUUUAUGUGUGCCAGCAUUCUUUUGGUUGAUACAGCUUGCUCAAUUUCAUUUGUUCAGCUACUCACCAGAGUCCCGAAGUAGCCACUUCUUUCUAAAAUGCUUCCUGCUACUAAAGACAGCAUCCACCCAUGGUUCCUUGGUUGAUUAAAAUACACUUAGUUCCCCAAGGAACACAAAUAUCUUGGUAGAAGAUGCUUGGAUUUAAUAUUUUUUCUACUAUUUGCAAGUUUGUCCCAGUUUGAAUUUUAUACUCUCCAGUUAAUUGAAAGAUAACAAAUAAAACUGGGCUGAAACAAUUUGCUACAUCACUCUGCUCGAGACAGCUUAUCUUGGCAGAUCUCAAAAGCUACUGUAAGUGGUGAGCUGUUAAUUACUCAUUUCUGAUCCGUCCGUAUUUACUAAAUUGGCUGUUUCUAAAGCAAUUCUUCAUGGGAAUGGUGCCCAGAAAAAGUCUUGGGUGGGUGUCAGCAUCACCUCGGAUUUUUGUGCUUGUGUUAAAUCAGCCCAGCAUUUCAGAUGGCUUCAGAGCCAUCAAAAAGUGUGAUUUAGAUUUGCUCAUUUCUGGAUUACAAGUUACCUCCUAAUGGCAUCAGAGAAGGGAGGGGAAACUGGUUCACGGGGGCCUUCCCAGGACUUCUCGCUUUUUUUCUAAGGAUAAUAAGCUGCAAGUUCAGCUUCCUCCUCCCGUCAGCACUGUAGCAGCAAUGUAAGAACUGUAACAUCAGUUAUCAUCAGUUUGGCCUUAUUUCCUAAACAAACACAUCCUUUAAAAAUUAAGUAUAUGUGUAUAGAGAAAGCCAAGCUAAAGAGAAAGCCAAUGGUGCAAAAUGGUUAUGAGACUUAGAUAGCUUAAUAAAUAAAUAAAAAGUGAUGCAAAUAUAUAACUUGAAUGCCCAUCUUAUGUUAGUACAGUUAUAUAGGAUGAUAGUUUAAUAUUUUGGCAAGGUCCCAUUUCAGUCUUACCGCCUCCAUGUAUCUGACACAAGUAUGGAAACCGCCACA
Molecule: long non-coding RNA, 4402 nt
Organism: Anas platyrhynchos (mallard)
Lineage: Eukaryota; Metazoa; Chordata; Aves; Anseriformes; Anatidae
Source: RefSeq, a predicted model, not a curated record